Small nucleolar RNA from Neopelma chrysocephalum (saffron-crested tyrant-manakin), 79 nucleotides. RefSeq annotates it as small nucleolar RNA SNORD45. The transcript has a single exon. NCBI's taxonomy places the organism in Eukaryota, Metazoa, Chordata, Aves, Passeriformes, Pipridae. The record is from RefSeq and is a predicted model, not a curated record.
GGCUGGGCAUGAGUGCUGGCAUGUAUUAUCUGAGCUGAGGUCUGUCACCACGUUAGCUCUAGAAUUACUCUGAAGCCCA